AGAGUUUGAUCAUGGCUCAGAUUGAACGCUGGCGGCAUGCCUUACACAUGCAAGUCGAACGGCAGCGCGGGGCAACCUGGCGGCGAGUGGCGAACGGGUGAGUAAUAUAUCGGAACGUGCCCUGGAGUGGGGGAUAACGCAGCGAAAGUUGCGCUAAUACCGCAUACGAUCUAAGGAUGAAAGCAGGGGACCGCAAGGCCUUGUGCUCCUGGAGCGGCCGAUAUCUGAUUAGCUAGUUGGUGGGGUAAAGGCCUACCAAGGCAUCGAUCAGUAGCUGGUCUGAGAGGACGACCAGCCACACUGGAACUGAGACACGGUCCAGACUCCUACGGGAGGCAGCAGUGGGGAAUUUUGGACAAUGGGCGAAAGCCUGAUCCAGCAAUGCCGCGUGAGUGAAGAAGGCCUUCGGGUUGUAAAGCUCUUUUGUCAGGGAAGAAACGGUGUGGGCUAAUAUCCCGCACUAAUGACGGUACCUGAAGAAUAAGCACCGGCUAACUACGUGCCAGCAGCCGCGGUAAUACGUAGGGUGCAAGCGUUAAUCGGAAUUACUGGGCGUAAAGCGUGCGCAGGCGGUUUUGUAAGUUUGUCGUGAAAGCCCCGGGCUCAACCUGGGAAUUGCGAUGAAGACUGCAAGGCUUGAAUCUGGCAGAGGGGGGUAGAAUUCCACGUAGCAGUGAAAUGCGUAGAGAUGUGGAGGAACACCGAUGGCGAAGGCAGCCCCCUGGGUCAAGAUUGACGCUCAUGCACGAAAGCGUGGGGAGCAAACAGGAUUAGAUACCCUAGUAGUCC
Molecule: ribosomal RNA, 789 nt
Filed under: uncultured bacterium
Lineage: Bacteria
Description: bacterial SSU rRNA
Rfam family: Bacterial small subunit ribosomal RNA
Source: RNAcentral